This 254-nucleotide ribosomal RNA is filed under the name uncultured bacterium. Its description in RNAcentral is "partial 16S ribosomal RNA". It matches the Rfam family "Bacterial small subunit ribosomal RNA", at positions 524 to 776 of the family's 1533-position model. The record is from RNAcentral.
GACGUAGGGCGCGAGCGUUGUCCGGAUUUAUUGGGCGUAAAGAGCUCGUAGGCGGCUUGUCGCGUCGUCCGUGAAAACUUGGGGCUCAACCCCAAGCUUGCGGUCGAUACGGGCAGGCUAGAGUUCGGUGAGGGGAGACUGGAAUUCCUGGUGUAGCGGUGAAAUGCGCAGAUAUCAGGAGGAACACCGGUGGCGAAGGCGGGUCUCUGGGCCGAUACUGACGCUGAGGUGCGAAAGCGUGGGGAGCAAACAGG